AUUGAACGCUGGCGGCAUGCCUAAUACAUGCAAGUCGAGCGAGCGGCGGACGGGUGAGUAAUGUAUGGGGAUCGGCCGAUAGAUGGGGAUAACUACUGGAAACGGUAUCUAAUAACGCAUACCAUCGGAUAGACCAUAUGGUAUUAGCUAGUCGGUGAGGUAAUGGCUCACCUAGGCGACGAUCCAUAGCUGGUCUGAGAGGAUGAUCAGUCACACUGGGAAUGGGACACGGACCAGAUUCCUACGGAGGCAGCAGUGGGGAAUAUUGCACAAUGGGCGCUAGCCUGAAGCAGCCAAGCCGCGUGUAUGAAGAACGCCAUAGGGUUGUAAAGUACUUUCAGUCGGGAGGCGUUACCGACAGAAGAAGCACCGGCUAACUCCGUGCCAGCAGCCGCGGUAAUAC
Molecule: ribosomal RNA, 403 nt
Filed under: uncultured bacterium
Lineage: Bacteria
Description: partial 16S ribosomal RNA
Rfam family: Bacterial small subunit ribosomal RNA
Source: RNAcentral